RNAcentral lists this transfer RNA (75 nucleotides) under Chitinophagaceae bacterium. Its description in RNAcentral is "tRNA-Asn". It matches the Rfam family "tRNA". Rfam says of the family: Transfer RNA (tRNA) molecules are approximately 80 nucleotides in length. Their secondary structure includes four short double-helical elements and three loops (D, anti-codon, and T loops). Further hydrogen bonds mediate the characteristic L-shaped molecular structure. tRNAs have two regions of fundamental functional importance: the anti-codon, which is responsible for specific mRNA codon recognition, and the 3' end, to which the tRNAs corresponding amino acid is attached (by aminoacyl-tRNA synthetases). tRNAs cope with the degeneracy of the genetic code in two manners: having more than one tRNA (with a specific anti-codon) for a particular amino acid; and 'wobble' base-pairing, i.e. permitting non-standard base-pairing at the 3rd anti-codon position. Lineage: Bacteria; Pseudomonadati; Bacteroidota; Chitinophagia; Chitinophagales; Chitinophagaceae. The record is from RNAcentral.
GGACGAAUAGCUCAACGGUAGAGCGGUGGCUUGUUAAGUCAAAGGUUGAAAGUUCGAAUCUUUCUUUGUCCUCAA